AUUGAACGCUGGCGGCAUGCCUUACACAUGCAAGUCGAACGGUAACAGGUCUUCGGAUGCUGACGAGUGGCGAACGGGUGAGUAAUACAUCGGAACGUGCCCAGACGUGGGGGAUAACGAGGCGAAAGCUUUGCUAAUACCGCAUACGAUCUAAGGAUGAAAGCAGGGGACCGCAAGGCCUGGCGCGUAUGGAGCGGCCGAUGGCAGAUUAGGUAGUUGGUGGGAGAAAAGCUUACCAAGCCGACGAUCUGUAGCUGGUCUGAGAGGACGACCAGCCACACUGGAACUGGGACACGGCCCAGACUCCUACGGGAGGCAGCAGUGGGGAAUUUUGGACAAUGGGCGAAAGCCUGAUCCAGAAAUGCCGCGUGCAGGAUGAAGGCCUUCGGUUUGUAAACUGCUUUUGUACGGAACGAAAAGGCUCUGGCUAAUAACUGGGGCACAUGACGGUACCGUAAGAAUAAGCACCGGCUAACUACGUG
RNAcentral lists this ribosomal RNA (482 nucleotides) under uncultured bacterium. Its description in RNAcentral is "partial 16S ribosomal RNA". It matches the Rfam family "Bacterial small subunit ribosomal RNA", at positions 30 to 507 of the family's 1533-position model. The record is from RNAcentral.